This 1874-nucleotide long non-coding RNA is filed under the name Nicotiana tabacum (common tobacco). RNAcentral's name for it is "long non-coding RNA (NTAB_LNC011460)". Lineage: Eukaryota; Viridiplantae; Streptophyta; Magnoliopsida; Solanales; Solanaceae. The record is from RNAcentral.
GCGUGCUUAGCGGAACUGCUUUGAUAGACGAGUAUCGGAGCAGAGCAGGAUUCAUGGCAGUGGUAAGACGAUCAGUAGCAGACGGAAUGUUGCUGUUUUGAGAACAUGGCUUGUGGCAAAAUUGCUGAACUGCGCCAAGGGUGGAACAGUUCGUGAGAGCAAGAAGUGUCAAAGCGCGGGAAACUCUCUUGUGGAAUGGAGCAACAAGGGCGUUGUCUGUCAACAACUCCUUGGGGCAGAUCCAUUAAGUCGGCUCGACGAGGACGUCGAUUUCAAAGGGUGCGGGUGAUUUGUUAGGACCCGAUUCUUUGUCAAUCGAACGUGGCGCGGCUAUGGCAAGGAUUGGGGCAUGAUGGCCUUGCUGUUGGCCUAUGCGGGAGCAAAACGAUCAUGCGGGACAAUGGACGAGAAACAUUGUCAUGAGAACAAGUAUUGGCCAAGGUCUUGAGACAGGCAAGAUGGGCUUGGCAAAGGCUUGAUGAGGCAGUGCGGACAAGUUUGGGCGGCAUGAAGCGGCAUGCGCGCCAAAGGCAAAGGUACGGGCAGUUCAAGUUGUGGGAGCGCCAAGUACAAGCUAAGCUAAAUCACGGAGGCACGGAAUGAUGGCAAAGGGUUUCAAUAGCUAAGGCAAAGCUAUGUGAGACAAAAGACAAGCAAUGGCACGGAUGAAACAAGUGUUGACAAAGACAAGGCAGAAAUGCGGCUAAGGCAAUGUGCGGCCGACAGGCGUCGAGCAUGUGCGGUAAAAUCAUGGGCAGUAGGUUGCGGACGAGACAUUGGCGCGGAGCAAUGUCAGAAUCAGCCAAGGCUGGGCGCAAUGCCAGACUUGGGGCGUGCAAUAGCUGACCAAGAAAAAGGGCACAUGUAGGGCACAUGCCAAAGCAGUGGGCCGUUGUAUUUUUGUAAUGACUUGUAUCCAUGUCUGUUUAGUGCUUGUAGCUAAUGUCAUUUCGUGUAAGAUAAUGGCCUAUGUAGUUGGGGGAUGUAAACUACAAGAUAGGAUCAGAUUUAGUAUGCUGUGUGUAAUGGCUUGGUUCAGUGGGAAGUGGGACCAGUGCUCCACCAGAGGGCUAAGUGCUCCAACAGAUGAGCUGAGUGUUCCACUAUGAAGGCUGAGUGCUCCACAAACAGAAAUAAGUGCUGGAGAGGGCUAUUUCGUGGGCAAGUACCCCAUUAAAUGGUUAAGUGCUUAUCAGUGCUUUGACUGGGCAAAGCACAAUGACGGAAUUGCCCCUUUGUAUGCUGUCCCUUAAUAUCUGCCAGUGGAACCCCCUAUAUCUAUAUAUAUGGGGGCAUUUCGUGAAGAGAAGGCAUCAAGACCGUGUAGGUCUUGCAUUAGGCAUCAAGACUAUGUCUUGUGCAGAAGGAGAGGGUCUCCAAGAGGAAGAUCUAGACCAUGAGGGUCUCAGAUCAAAAGUGGUAUCAAGACUGUAAGAGUCUUGUGCAGGAGGAGAGGGUCUCCAAGACCAAAAUCAAGACUGUAAGAGUCUUGUGCAGAAGGAGAGGGUCUUCAAAUGAAGAAGAGGGUCUCCGAGACGAAGACGAAGUGGUGCUAAGGCUGGGCAUGGGCAGGUCUUAGUGUGUCAUGAUCGGCUUGUGAUCUUGACUAAGUGGGCUAUGAACGACUUGUGUUCAUAGCAAAGAAACGGAAACAGGUUAGGAAGGUGAUUCUUUCUAAGUGUUUCCAAAAGUGGGCUAAGGCUGGAGCGUAGGCAGGUCUUAGUAGUUAUGAACGACUUGUGUUCAUAGCAAAAUGGGAACCAAGAGGGAAACGUGAGAGUUUCUAAGUGUUUCCGAAAGUGGGCUAAGGCUGGAGCGUUGGCAGGUCUUAGUGACAAGAUCUAUUUGUGAUCUUGGCCGGACGAAGUGGGCUG